Long non-coding RNA from Bolinopsis microptera, 529 nucleotides. RefSeq lists it as uncharacterized. Lineage: Eukaryota; Metazoa; Ctenophora; Tentaculata; Lobata; Bolinopsidae. The transcript has 3 exons. The record is from RefSeq and is a predicted model, not a curated record.
ACAAUUCAGUUCACAAUUUAACCAUUCAACGUUUCCUUAAGCCGGUAAUUUCUAUAUUUGUACAGUGAGAUAUGAUGUGGAAGGUGAUAUUACUAGUGAGCAUGAUAGAACUUGUUAGCGCUGAUGUUGUGGCACUUGGAGGGGAGGAUGGAGAGGGCCCUUCCCCUUGUGUGAGGGUCUGCUCUGGAUCUACUGGUCGAGAUAAGACGCCCUGGAAAGACCACGAACUAAACGGGAUCCAAACCAAAGUGGACAUCAGUCGGUGUGGGUUUACGAGGACUCCAACCAUAACGACCUCUCUGGAGGGGGUGUCCGCACAUUGGACUCUAUCAGGAACCUCGGCAGUAUACCACUCAACCCCUACAUCCUUCACCUCCUUCAUCGGGGGUAAUACAAAAGACGUACGGAAGGAAAAGCAGCACUUCACAAAUGGAAUGUUCAAUUCAUAGCGGUUGGAUACGUGUGCUAAACCAUUGUGUUAAAUCAAUAUGUAGGAAGGUGACAUCGAUUUAAAACUGUUUUCGUUAAA